AUGAACCGCUGGCGGCAGGCCUAACACAUGCAGUCGAGCGGUGGAGAGAAGCUUGCUUCUCUUGAGAGCGGCGGACGGGUGAGUAAUGCCUAGGAAUCUGCCUGGUAGUGGGGGAUAACGUUCGGAAACGAACGCUAAUACCGCAUACGUCCUACGGGAGAAAGCAGGGGACCUUCGGGCCUUGCGCUAUCAGAUGAGCCUAGGUCGGAUUAGCUAGUUGGUGAGGUAAUGGCUCACCAAGGCGACGAUCCGUAACUGGUCUGAGAGGAUGAUCAGUCACACUGGAACUGAGACACGGUCCAGACUCCUACGGGAGGCAGCAGUGGGGAAUAUUGGACAAUGGGCGAAAGCCUGAUCCAGCCAUGCCGCGUGUGUGAAGAAGGUCUUCGGAUUGUAAAGCACUUUAAGUUGGGAGGAAGGGCAUUAACCUAAUACGUUANGUGUUUUGACGUUACCGACAGAAUAAGCACCGGCUAACUCUGUGCCAGCAGCCGCGGUAAUACAGAGGGUGCAAGCGUUAAUCGGAAUUACUGGGCGUAAAGCGCGCGUAGGUGGUUUGUUAAGUUGGAUGUGAAAUCCCCGGGCUCAACCUGGGAACUGCAUUCAAAACUGACUGACUAGAGUAUGGUAGAGGG
RNAcentral lists this ribosomal RNA (635 nucleotides) under uncultured bacterium. RNAcentral's name for it is "bacterial SSU rRNA". It matches the Rfam family "Bacterial small subunit ribosomal RNA", at positions 28 to 658 of the family's 1533-position model. The record is from RNAcentral.